UUUGUGAUGAUAUCUGUUGUCUAAUCUUGUUUGUUAUUUAAUUGGAUUGAUGAUGAUGAUUUUUAGGCGGAGGGAACUAAGCCGGAGGAAGAAGAGGAGUCUGAGAAGUCUAUGUCAGAGGUGAAUGAUGAGGAUGAUGAUGAAGAAGGCAGUGGCGAGGUUUUUUUUGGGGAUGUUUUGAUUUUUAGUUUGACUUGUUAUCAUUGUUAUGUGGUUUUUCUUGAAUUUGUUUGUUGAUUUAUUGUUUUUGGUUUUGUGCAGGAGGAUGAUGAUGAAUAGAAGUUGAAGGAAGAAAUUAGCAUAGUCAUGUUAGGCUGUGACAAUGUUUCAAACAACAUAUGUUAAUGCUUUGUGCUUCCAUGUUAAUUUUUUUGGAUGCUUUCAUCAUCUUCAUCAUCAUGUAAGAGAAUCAUGUUGCUUCUCCCUCGACAUUUUCUUAUGCCUGCCUUUCAAAGAAUUAAUAGCUGUAGGUGGGAGAUUCACUGCUCUAUAUGUACUGUGUUCUAAAGCUUAAUGAUUUAGCUAAGGCGUUCCAUCGUUUGUAGAAAAAUCCCAUGUUUUUUGAUGAUGAAUGGUGGUGAUGGUUUUUUCUUAUCUUUUGUAAUGCUAAGGAAAUUAGUUACAUUUGCUAUAGUUAAUCUUUAACGCAUUUGCAUGGUUAGGUCAUGAUUGGAUUGCAUGAUGUCAUAUGGCUUAUGAUUGAGCAGCUUGGAUGCUGAAGUAUGUUUUUAAUGAAUGGAAUGUCUUAAAAUAAUUUAUUUUGAUAAUAAGCACAUUGAAGUGCUAAAUUGUUUGUCAAUCUGUGGCUGCAAAUUGGUAGAGUAGAAUUCAUCCUUUGUGGCAUUGCCAGUGCUAAAUUUCAAGCAUUCAAGUGCAAUAUAAAUUAUCUUUUCUGGUUACAAUGUGUUUGGUGCCUUUUGCCUAAUCACAUAGUUAUUGUUUGGCUCAGAAAAAUGUUAUGCUUCAGCUCCUUUAUGCAGUUUUGGGGAAAACCUUUUUGACUUUUUACUUGAAGAUGGUGCUGCCGGACAAAAGUAUUUGCUGUUUUGCUCGCUGUGAUUAAUAGAUUAAACGGCCAAGCAAUUUCUAGUCAUUUGUGGGUUGGGUUAAUUUUUACAAAUUGGAAUAUGUUGGAUGGUUCAGCUAUAUAUGAUUGAUUUUUGGAAAUAUAUUUACUUUAUUCACCAUCCCUAAUAAGUAAUCAAUUUUUAUUUCCGCCGACUGACUACCUCAGCAAUUUUAUUUUGUUCUAGUUUUAAAAUUGGUAUCGAUUUAAUGCAUGAUAUUUAUUAGCUAAUUUAUUGGCAAUAAAUUAUGAAUAGUGUAGAGGAUCGAAAUAAAAGAUGGAGAAGACAUUUUGGAAUAAGAAUUGGGCUUAUUAUUAGAUGGAGACUGUUCAAUGAAUGUGUAUGAAAAUAUUUGAAGAAAAUAGUAAAAAAAGGUAUUUGGGUAAAUAUUAUAUGAGGUAACAUAUUACUAUGAUAGGCUAAUCAAGGUAUAUUUGAUUGUUAACGAUGAAGCAAGUACAAAUAGAUCUGUAUGUGUCGAUAAUAAAUGGUUGUAAUUUGAAUUUAUUGAGUGAUUGAAUAGGCGUGGUUGGUAGGAAAGAUUUCAUAAAAAGAAAAUAAAAAUACCCACGCGAGCUACGGACACACAAAGACAAUGGGAAACCUAGAAAAUUAAUUCGAGAGGGGGGCAAUUGAAAAAGAAAAUAUUAAGAGGGCAGUAUCCAACAAUAACCUAACAAAAAGAAAUACCAAUUAUAAAUAUUUUUUCUCAAAAUUGUCGGCAAAAUCCACAAAAGAAUAAUUUUUAUAUACAUGAACCUGUCAAAAAAUUGUCACUCUAAACAGGAUCAUCAACGUACAUAAAAAAGAUAAAAUUGAUCUAAUUCAUCGACCUCAAAAUAAUUACUAGCCUUUUUGAAAAUUGAUCAUUAUUCAUCAACCAAACGUUAUUAAAAUUAAAUUAUUGUUACUCCAUAAUCAUAACCCCAGCAAGAGAAAUCAAAAUCAGUCAAUAACCCCAAUAUUUUCAUUUUUUCAAAUCAGCAGCGGCUUUCGAGGAAGAGGAAGAAAGGCCAGUUGCCUAGUGACUUUUCUAGCCCGUAAAUCCACCAUGUAUUUUUUCAUUUUUUUAAUAAUCUAACAGCCGUUCGAUUUCUGACUCUAAACUAUUAUUUGUCCGUUAGUUACGAGUCCCCCUUUUAAAUGUAUUGACAGAACAGAUACGUGAUAUUUUUUUCGGUAUUGGAAGCAGAUUUUUCACUUUAGUGCCGGCAGAAUCUAAAUUCUUUUAAGAGCUAGAUAUUUAGAAUAAAAUAUUAAUAUAUUGUAAAUAUCUUCACUCAUUAUCGAGUCGGAUACGAUGGAUGUUGGGCACAUGGGCAACGGACGGCCAUCUCACAAAUUUAACGAAUUGUCGCGGCGCAGCGUGGUUUAAAGUUAUUCCUCUGUUUGUUAAACCUGUACAACACCAUUCUCCAUUCAAACGAGUGUUGAAUUUGACAAAGAAAAAUAAUCAUAAGAGUAACGUUGGGGUAAAUUUGAGGAACGUAGACAGAUUCUGACAUAAGCAAGCCUCCGUGAUGGGCAAUCAUAAUACAAAAAUAGUUAAAUUUCAACACAGAUACUGAAUAAAUAGGUCUCAAUUUUUGAACCUUCUCUUAAGAAAAACAUAUUUACUUUAAUUAUCUAAUAGACACAAUGUAUUUAAAUUAUUCUGCCAUUCAUAUAUAUACAUAUAAUGAUAUAUUUCACACAGAGAUCUUUCGUCACACAUCUGAUUCUCGGUGUUAUGUUUGUUUUGCCUUUGAACAUCUACUUAAUUCUGCAAGAAUUUAUAAGAAUUUAACCUUAUACAAUUCUUUUUAAAGUGGCCUCAAUUCUCUCUCACAUAUGUUAUUUCUUAAUUAAGAACAACCCUUAUUAUGUGCUCAAAUUCUCAAUGCAUAAGAAUCAUUAAGAUCAUAACUCGUUCUUUCUCCUACAAGCAUCAUUAUAUCAUCAUAGAAAUAGAUACUAGGAACCCUUAUAGUGACCUGGCUUAGUCUUUAAUAACUGAGUUUUCCCUUUGAACUAUAACUCUAUGGGCUUUAGUCUUAUUUUCUUCUAUGAUUUUCUACUAUCUCUCUGUUUAAUUCUUUAGUUAGUGAAUUUAUAAUGUUAUCCUUUGACUUCAUGUACUCAAUAAAAAUAACUACAAUAAAGAGUAAUUCCCUAAUGUUAAUUAUGUUUUUGAUGUAUAUGUCUAGACUUACUAUUAUACAUAUUGCUUUGUGCGCUUCCAAUUACAGAUUGAUUAUCACAGUGAAUGCAAAUUGAUGGCACAAGUUUUGGCCAACUUGGAAUAUCCUCUAAGAAAUUUCGCAGCCAUUAUACUUUUUCACCAUAUUUAUCCAAUGCAAUGAAUUCAGAUUCUGUUAUAGAUCUAACUAUCACAGUUUUUUCUAGAGAAUUUCCAUGAAAUAAUUGUACCUGCUAAUGUAAACAUAUAGUCAUUGGCAGACUUUUAAGUCUUUCACAUAAGACAUCCACUUUGCUAUUCAUAUUAAUGUAUCCUUCUAGUACAAUUGAAUAUCUAGUAUAGUGCAUCUCGUAAUUUUGAGUAUAUUAUAAGCAUCUGAGUACCCUUACUAUUGCUUUCUUGUGGUUAGCCCCUGGUUACUCGUAUAUCUACUGAACUUCCUCAUUGUAAAAAUUGAGUUUGAUUUUAUAUAGCUUAUUAAGUACAUCAAAAUCUAUAUCACUCUAGAAUAUUCUAUUAAAGGAAUUUUAGUCACAACAAAAGUAUCUUUGUUGAAUUUACUAAGUUUUUUUUUUCACAUAAUAUAAUUGACUAAGAAUAAGUCCAUUAGAAGUCCUUAAAUUUUUUAUUCUCAAGAUGACAUAUGCUAGAUCUCAUGUAUUUCAUGUCAAAUUUAUACUUCAACAUAUUCUUAGUAGACUUAACAAUUUUAUCAUUAUUCCCAACAUUGAGCAUGUCAUCAAUGUAAAGCCAUAAAAUAGCUUAGCUAUUUUCUAUCUCUUUGAUAUAUAUACGCAUAUUUCACGUUUGUUGAUCUUAAAACCAUUUGCCAUCAUCAUUUGGUCAAAAUUUUCUUAAAACCAUUUUGCAUAAUCCUUAGGUCAAAUCUCUCAUGCUUAUUUCAAUCCAUAAUGACUUUACUAAUUUACUGACCUUAUUAUUAUUAUUAUUAUUUUGGGAUUUUGGAGACUGUUCCAUAUAUAUUUCUUCAUCUAAGUCCCCAUUUAAAAAGAUUUUUUUUACAUCCAUUUGAGUACUUCAAGAUUACAUAAAGUCGCAAUUGCAAGUAUCAUCCUAAUAUAAUUUAUUCUCGUUACAAAAGAAUAUAUAUCAAAAUCAUCAAAGCCUUUUGUUGUUUAUAACCUUUAAUUACAACUCUAGCCUUAUAUUUGUUAAUUGAUCCAUCAACUUUCAUUUUUUCCUUGAUAUCACAGAGGUUUGCACCCUAGAUAAAGUUCCACAAACAUUUAAGUAUGAUUUUGUAAGAUAGAUUUAAUUUAACUGUUAAUGGCGUUUUUUCACAAAGUGUCUUCUGGUGAAAUUAUAAAUCUUCCUUGAAGCUUUGAGAUUCACUUUCCAGUAGCUCUUUUGUUACAUUUAAGUUCAAUCUCAACCUAUUAUUCAUAUUCUUAAAUUUCUUCUUGUUCUAGGUUCUGACUAUCUUCAACAAUAGGCUCAUGUGUUCAUUUAAUUGAACUUGAAUCAUCUUUGAAUUUACAAGUAAAUACAUGUUCAAAAAAUUAUGCAUUUCCUAAACAAUAGUUUUUGGUCCUAUCUUCAUAUUUGUAGGUGGAGAAAUGACCACUUUAGCAAGACACCUCAACACUCAUAAGAAUUUAUAGCAAGUUACUUUACCUUUCAAUAAUACGUAAGGAAUUAUCUCUUUUUCCUUUCAGGGCACUUUAUUUAAAAGUAAAUAGCUAAUAAAACCAACUUCUCUUUACAUAUCCUAAGGUACCCCAUAACCUAUCAAUAUUGCAUUCAUCAUUUUUUUCAAGGUAUGAUUUUUUUGUUAAGCAAUCCUAUUAGAUUGAGAUGAAUAAGGAGCUAUGAUUUGAUGUAUAACUCUAUAUUGUUAAUAGAGUGAUCCAAAUGGAACAACAUAUUCACCACCAUGAUUUCUUCUCAACACAUUCAUUUUUUUGUUUGGUUGAUUCUCAACUUCAUUUUAUAGAGAAUAAAUUUCUAAAUAAAUUCAUCCUUACUUUUUAACAAAUACACAUAACAAAAUUUUAUAUAGUCAUUAGUUAAAAUUAAAAAAAUAUUUAUGCAUUUCUUAAUUAGAAUAUUAUAUUUAUGUGAAUAUCUGGUAUAUUCCACUUAUACACUAGAAAUCAAGAUGGAGGAAUGAUCACUUUAGCAAGAUACCCUCACACUUAUAAAUAUUUAUUAGAUGGCGUUGUACCUUUCUGUAAUUCAUAAGAGGUUUUCUCUAUUUCCUUUUGGAAUACUUUAUUUAAAAUGUAAUUAAAUAACUUCUCCUCACACAUCUAAGAUAACCCAAAACUUAUGAACAUUACAUUAAUCAUUUCUUUUAAGGUAUGAUAUUUUCUUUUAGCAAUCCCGCUAGAUUGAGCUAAAUAAGGAGAUGAGGUUUGAUGUAUGAUUUCUUGUUGUUAGCAAAGUGAUCCAAAUAGAACAACAGACUUACCACCAUGAUUAUUUCUCAACUCCAUCAUUUUAUUAUUUAGUUGAUUCUCAACUUCAUUUUUAUAUAGAAAAAAUUUCUUUAUAGCUUUUUGUCUUUGUCUUUGUCUUUUAACAAAUACAUAUAACAAAAUCCACCCCUCGACUAAAUGGAUUUAAAGCACAUAUAUCGUUGUGUAUUAGAUCAAGUGGUUCAGUGCUCCUUUUAAUUAUUUGAGGGCAUACGAUUCCCUUAUGUUUUGUAUAAAUUUGUUAGUUUUGCCUCAACACAAGAUUCCCACUUAUGUUUUGUAUAAAUUUGGAAUAAGGAUAUAUGAUUUAUGUUAAUUAAUUUACGAAAAUAAUUAUAAUUAACAUGUCCUAAUCUACCAUGCAAUAAAUCAAACGACUCAAGAAAAUAAGGCUAAUAAUAUAGAUCAUGAAGAAAUUGCUUCGUUAUUCUUAAGUUCUACCUUAGCCACAAAAAUGAUAAUUUUCAUGUCAUUAUUUUUGUUGACUUAUUCAAUUUAAAGUCUUAUAAUUAGGUCUUCAAUGCUCAUUUCCUUUCUUUUAUACUUUGGAUAACUCUUCAAAUCUCAAUUUUGUUUCAAUUCAACAGAAAUUGAAUUGAAUGUCCACCCCUACCCUAAGUGUCAAACAUUUUACUGAUCUUACUAGUUACCACUUUAACCAUUGAUGGUUGUUUGAUAUUGAUAAUAUAAAUACCUUUAAUUAUUUAAUUGAUAUUGUUGUUAGACUAUACAGAUUUAAUUUCAAUUCAAUUCAAUCCUAGUGUAAUAAAAAGAAAAUGGCAAAAUCACCUUUAGUCUUUUCAUUUUUACUAAACAAAUUGGUGCGUUUCGAGAUUCAAUUUCUUAUUAACUCAAACACGAGUUUGAGUAUUUUAUGAUUAAAAGAGCUCACGGAGAAUAUUCUGAAUUAUCCAUGCAAGCAUAUUUCCUCAACAUAUAUCUUACUGAAAAUUGGCAUUAUAAUAAUUAUUUGUAUGUUAUUUUUUCAGCAUAUAUAUUGUUAAGCUUUCUUAUAUACUUAAGAGAUUUAGCAUGGGUUGUAAACAAAACAUUUGCAUUAGGUAUACACCCAACUUUCUUAGGGUGUAUUUGGAAGUAAGAUGUUAUAUCUUUUAAGUUGAAGUGGAUAAAACCCAUAAAUGUGGAGUAAAACUGAGAAAAAAAAAGACGCUAAGCUGCCAAAACACAGUUGUAAGGUGUUACCAAACAACUUUUAUUUUUGAAUUACACAUCAUUCCCAAAUGCAUCCUUAAAUUACUCAAUUGUUGUUUUCCUAUUUGUUUGUUAAAAUUAACACGUGUCCAUGUGUUUGCUUCAUCACUAAACACUGCCUCUUUAUUAUUCCCGUUGGAUAUGCCGAGGGCUGAUAGUUUCAUUCAUCUCCAAAGACUCAAACCUUUAGCAUAAAUUACUUAAACAAAAUAACAGUUGUAAAAUUUCGUUCCUUUUGUGUGUGUGUGUGUGUGUGUGUGUGUGUGUGUAUUACAAUUAUGAAAAUAAUAUAACUCUUAACAUCUUAUCAGGCUAGAGUAUGCUCUCACAUUUUGUUUAAUAUUGACUUAAUAUAUAUCAUACUCCAAAGUCCAAACAUAAGAUACAGCCCGUGCACGUUGAAAUUCCAUACCCACUACCCAGCAAAGAAAUAACAUGGGUUUUGUACUAUAUUUAAUUAAUUCCCACUAACCAACCCCUACGUAUAAUUAUUAGCCAAUUUUUUGAAUCAAAAUCUUGGUUUAUAAUAUGAUUUUUCAUCUCAUAAACAGAAUGUGCGUAAUUUCGUUUUUUUUUUUCCUUUUUUUUAAUUUUUAAAUAAUAAAGUCAUAAUAGUAUAGAAAAAUUUCUAUUUGAAGUGAAUUAGAUAAUAAUAAGAUGUAAAAAUUAAAAUUUUGAAUAUAUAAAAUAUUUGCUAAUACAUUUAUAAAUGUAUUUUAUGCAUUUUCAUAUUUUGAAAACAUUGUGCAUUAGACUCAUUAUCAAUGCUAUUAAAUACAUUAGUUUCUAUAUAAAUAACCAAAACAAUCAUGCAUCCAUUUAUCUCCCAUUCAAUUCUAGAGCUGCGAAUUUCAUUUACUAAAGAUAUUUUUUCUAUGAAUAAAUAAUUACCCAUUAUGUGAGUUACUAUUUAGGAUAAUUUAUUUGUGAACGAGCGUAACUUAAUUAUUUUAAACACUCGUGUAACACACUCAUUAUUCAAAAUAUAAUUCUCUUACCAUUAACCCUAAAACUUUUGUUUCUAACAUGUUAAAAAAUACUUCGUUGAAUGUGCAGCAAAUUAAUUAAAGAAAAACUAUUAAGUAAAGUUAUUUUUUUUAAAAUUAUUUCAAAGUAUAAUUAAUUCCAUUGUUGUAAGUUAUGCUAAAUUUCUUGAAAAUUUUUCUCGUGUGUGCUAAAUAUAUUUAUUGGUGUUUUAAUAAAUAAAUUAAUUUAAGUGUUUUAAGUAAAGAUUUUAUUAGUAUUUUAAAGAAUAUACAUCUGUAAAAUUUAAUUCUUUAAGUUUAGUAGAUGACUAUGCAAAGUAGUAAAGUGUUCAAUGCAAAUAAUUUCGCUCUUUCUUUAUUGUGGUUGUGAAAAUUGGAAGAAUUGAUGCAGAUGUCACCAACAAAUAUACUAAAAUUAAUGUUUAAUUUGUGAUUAAAAGGAUGAGAUAUUGUUAUUUUUAAAUAAUAUAAAUUUAUUUUGAAGAAUGAAAAAGUAUUUUCGGUUGUGGGGAGGUGGGCUAUUAUUAUUUUUAAUUAGAGUAUCGGCUUUUGCAAUAAUAAAAGUUGAAAUUUAAAUUUAUGAAUUUUAUAAGAAUUCUUUUAAUACCUUAAUGGGGAUCAGUUAGAAAUUUUAAAUAUAUGUUUUCCGAGCCUCCACUGCUCACGUGCUGGAUCCUCCGCCGGUGGUAAAUGGUAUGAGGUACUGUAACACAAAACAGAAUGGCAUGGAUGGGUUUUCAUGUUGUCAUGCAAUGGAAUAACAUGGCGGACACCGAACAGUCACAUCACAUCCCUCUGACUUGGCAGCCAAUAAAUAAAGCAAAGCAAGACAAUUAGACAAAGGGCAAAUAUUUUACGCCCCUUUUGCUCUCCGGUUGCAUUAAUUUACAGGACAAUAGGUUCUUUUUCUUUUCUUUUUCGAAUUUAAAGAUUACACUAGUUUCUCUGAUCAACGGGAUCAUUUAACCAAUGACUUGGCAGGGCCUACCCGCCUACGCCUGUGAGUGAUUGUAGUUCAAAAGAAUAAGAAGAGUAGAAAUGACUUACCCGCGAGACCCGCAAGUUAUAGCGUUAAUUUGGCACAGUCAACUUUCUAAUUGCAUUAAACUGAGCAAUUAACUCCGCCGCCUGUCAAUUACACACUUUUUGUUUGUUUCCAAAAUAAAUAUAUAAUUCAGAGUGAGUGUGUGUGUGUGUGUUGGUGAUGGAAUGGUUUCUAUACCCUUGCACUCUAAAGUGACUUGUUUCUUCUUCUCCAAUCUAUAAAAUAAAUUUAUUUAUAUAAAAAUGAAAGAAAUGGUUUGAGUUUGGAAGUGGGUAGUGAAGGGUGGGAAAAAGAAAAAAGAGAAAAAGCCAAAAAGAAAAAAAAAAGAAAAUUCAAUCAAUGAAAAUGGAGUGGCCAAAUUUUCAACAAGGAGGAGAAAUGGAGAGGCAGUUUCAGCAAGAUGGAGGGGACACUAGUAAUGGGUUGUGCGUGAAAGUGAUGACUGAUGAACAAAUGGAGUUGCUCAGGAAACAGAUCGCUGUUUAUGCUAUGAUUUGUGAGCAGCUUGUUCAGAUGCACAAAGUCUUCUCUGCUCAAAAUGAAAUCGCUGGUCUCUUCUCUUUCUCUUUCCUCUUUUAGUGUGUUUUUCCAUUAGUCAUUGCAAGUUUCUGUUGCUUGAUUUUGCUCCGACUUGCUUUCUUAAUUUAGGUGAUACGAUAACCAAUCAGUUUAUACAUGGAAAAUCCCAAAUCCAUACUUGAAUCAUGCAAUAAUUGAAUCCCAAAUUAACACGAGCAUAGAAUCUCUGAUUGAUAUAAUGAAGAAAUGAUCAUCUUUAAGUGGAUGUAGAACACUUGCAAAUUCUUUCCUUUUUCGGCAAAGCCACUGCCUCCCCUUAUAUUCCGGAAAGGAAAUUAGAAACUUGCUAUGUCAUAUUCAUAGGCACUAGCCCAGUUUUCUGGGAAAAAAGAAAGCAUGAUUAUAGUAUAUUUUUUGGAGAAAUUGGAAAUUGAUUUGAGUCUUUUGAAACCCUAUCGAAUACGCUUGUCAACGAGUAUCCAAUUGCUUUUGCUUCAGCAGACUUUCCGUUCUGUUGCACCAUUCACUAGUUUAGCUACUUAUCCCAUCAAAGUCUUGCUAUUAUUCUCGUGAUUCAUUUAUCGAAUCAAAUUCUACUAGGACCUUGCCGUAGGCCCGCAAAAUUUUGAGGCCUUUUUUGUCUUGUAGGAAUGAGAAUGGGGAAUCCAUACUUUGAUCCCUUUGUGGCAUCUGGCAGCCAGAAGCUCACUGCCAGGCAACGGUGGACCCCGACACCUGCACAGCUCCAAAUCCUUGAGCAUGUUUACGAUGAAUGCAAGGGGACUCCUCGCAAACAGAAGAUCCAGGAUAUGACCGCUGAAUUGGCAAAACAUGGCCAAAUUUCUGAAACAAAUGUGUAUAACUGGUUUCAGAAUAGGAGAGCCCGUUUAAAGAGAAAGCAAUCAGGUGUGGUUCCAAACAAUGCAGAAUCAGAAGCAGAGACAGUGACACAUGCUGAAUCCAGGAAGCAAAACCCGGAAAGCAUCCAGUCAUUGGAGGAUUCAGCACCACCACCCAGGGACGAAGAUAUCUAUCCUCAAAGUCCUGAUUUAGGUAAUAAAUUUUUCUGCUUCAAUGUUCUGCUCAACAAAUAUAAACUUAUUUUCAGUCACAUGUAAGUUAAGAUUCAUAGGCAGUUUUUGUUGCAUGAGAGGUAUGCAAAAUUUCUGUUUUUGAUCCUUGUUACUUAUACUGAUGUCAAUUGGGCGCACCCUCAUACAAAUGAGCAAAAGAUUUCUGAAACAAUCUGGGGUUUUUGUGUAGGGAUUGACCAGAUGAUUGGUAAGAUGGAAAUUCCCGGAAGCUUCAGUUUUCACUGGCAGGUAGACCGAUAUGACAUGCUUGGAUGAUGCCCUUCCAGAAGGCAGUAGCUUAAUUGAGGAGGGUGAACAUGUCUUUUUGCUAAGAAAUAUAUGACCUACUAGCUGAAAAUCUACAAAGACAAUUGAACGUGGCCAAACUAUAUUGUUGUUGAAUCUAAAAUACACCUAUAUUCUAAUUCUGAUGAGCUUGGUUUGUUGGAGCUCAAAAAACUUUCUUAAGUAGUUAAAGUUGAUUGCAUGGAAGAAAUAUUAAUUUGUGACUGCAUCUACCCACGCAUUCGACACCAAGAUAUGUACAUAUAUGCAUAUAAAUACUUAUGUAUGUUAAAUGUUUCUUUUUAGCUUUUGUGCUCAAAUUUACUUAUUCUAGGGAGUGCAAUUCUAAUCUCACCAGGGUGCUAAACAAUAAAUAUGAUGUUUUUAUUAGCUAACAUCAUUUUUAUUUACUGGUUACAAGAAGUGCUUUACAACUUACAAAUCAUCCGAAAUGCAACCAGUAUGCCAAAAUUGUACAAUCAAGCUCCUGCUUGUAAUUGCAGAAGUGUGGGAGCUGAACAUUAAUUAGGCUGCACCAGCUGAGCUUGAUGACCAUAAAGGACCAAAAUGGUAAGGAAAUUCUUGACUUCUCUGCCUCUACUCGUACAUAUGUCCAUGGCAUAUACAAAAAGCCAGAAACAUACGAUCGUCUACAAUCUGAUAAUUUUGUGCAACAUACAAAUUCAUAAGGCCAUGUUAGAAUAUGCAAUCCGGCUCUCCAUUAGGAACCCCGGCCUUUCUUUGGUAGUCUCAGCUGCAGGAUUGUGAAAGCUGAAUUUCAGAUUUAUGGCGGGAUAAUGCCCUGUGAUCAAAAGCUGCAAGCAUUUUAUAAAUUAUUUUACCUUCGAUUUUGUGGACCUCCACCCUCCUGAAUCUUCCAGUAUUGGAGAAUAAGAAAAUUUUUCUAUGCAACUGAAAGCAGCGACUUUAUCCAUGGCUGAAUGAGUAAUUGGUGAUGAAUCCUGAAAUCAUACUAAAGUUGUUACCAGGAGGAGAGGGAAAAGCCAUAACUUCAAGCCAACUUGGCACUAUGACAAGUAGAAAAAUGAUGCACAAUGAGAAAAUAAAAUAAGGAAACAACAUAGCAAACUAACCUUGGCCUCUGACUUGAAUUUUCCAGAUUCAGGAAUUCUAAUUUCCAGACGAUCCAAGUAAAACAAUAUCUACACAUAAGGCGAAGUUAGAGAAGCAACCCAUUAUGUGACAAAUUGCAAAAACAAUAAGAUUUUGCAUGAAACCUACUUUGUUAAGUAACUGAAAGUUCAAUGCAUUGCUUGCCACUAUCUGAACGCCAAGACAGUUGCUGGGGCUACUGCAGAAGGGGCAAAAAAGGGUAUUAUAUACACAUCCAUCCUCUUCACACCAUAUGCCCUGUCCUGAGGCACCUCCAAAAGACUGGUUGGUGAGUAGCUGAUCAACUGAUGAAAUGUCAGUCAUGAUAACAGGUAUGCUUGUUACAUUUGCACACAGUUCCUGUCUUUGUUUCAGAAGAGAUACUAAGUGAGCUUUAGCAGAUGAAGUAACUGAGCACCUAACAUAUAGAUGAUUCUCAGGAAGACCUAAAGGGCUCCUACAGAGUGAACAUGAAAUUUGUAAAGUCUUGUCCAUAACUGGAGUAGAGGACAAAUGUGAUUCAGCACAAUUAUUUGACGUUUUGGAUUUGUUUUUCACAUAAUUGGUUUCCGAAUUAAAUUCAAUUCUCCGAUUUGCUUCUCUGCUUGCCAUUAACAUAAGGUCAACUGAAGGUGAAACCAUGGUUUUCCUCCUUUUUUGGGUAUGUGAAUUAACACUCGAACUCAAAGACGAAUCUCUUUCUGGUGGCAAAUUGCUGGUGUCUCCAGUGACUUCUUUUUCAGGAGUGACUACCAUCUCAGGCUGGGCGCUGGAAGGGACUCGGACCGGAUUUGUCAAAGACUGCGAAUGGACUGAUAAUUGAUCUGGAGAUUGUGUAGAUGCUUGAAAUAUGGUUGAACUAGAGUUCCCAUCCUUAGAUAAGGAUCCAGGACUAGCCAUGGUAUUAUUAUCAUCCAUAGCAGGGGUUUCCUUGACAAGGAGUAAUUCUGGAUCUUCAUUGGAGAAUGGCAUGGAUGAAGCCUCGCAGCACCUGCAGAAAAGAAAAAGUCUUAUAACCCACACAAAGUAAUCAUUGCAGUUUAAAUCAUGUGGCAAGAUAUUCAAAAGAAGCCACCUAUAAACUUUACCAAAAAACAAUUGCUUAAUCCAAGGACUUGAAACACAUUGAUACUAUAUAGAAAUAUUUAACAAGGUUCCCAUGCUUACCUUGAACUUUUCUGCAAACUGCAUUGUGUGUUGAUAUAAUCUUUGCAGCUACUGACUCUAUCUAGCUGGACAAAUUCCUGAACUUCAACCUCAUCUAACAAGUUCAGCCCGGGAAAAGAGUCAUACUUCACUGAAGAGUGUAGCUUCUGUCCAGAAUUGUCAUAACUGUUCAGUUUCUUGUUUUCUUUCCUUGUUGACCCUUUGCUUGAAUCAAUAGAAUGAUUGUUUUUAUCGUUCAUUCUUUCCAGGUCAAUAUAUUCUAUGCAGCUGUUGUUCUGAUCAGUUUGCAAAGAUGUCUGAACUUCAAAAUUACCUUGAGACUUCUGAUGGGAAAAAGGGUCAUACUUGCUUAUAGAUUGUACAUUCUGUCCAGAAUGAUCAGACUUGUUAAGUUCCUGAGUAUUCUGUUUUGUCACCUCUUUGCAUUGAUCCAUAGAAGAGACAUGGUCCACAUCGUUGUCAGAAUUUUCUAAGCCAUUAAACAUUUUCUUGCCAACCCAACCCUGAGAGCAAGUUUUGGCAGGAAAACCAAUUAGUUCAUCCACUGAGUUAUCCAUAUAAAGAAAAGAAAAGUCUAGUGAUACUAGAGAAAGAAAUGGUAAAAGAUGGGACCUUGACAUCUCUGAAAAAAGACUUUAAACCCUCUAGUGAUGCGUCAAAGCUAUCAUACUGUUUAAUGGAUUUCCUUAGCCACUUAGAAAUAUGAGCUCUAUUCCUUUCCUCUUGAAAGCGCUCAUCUGCUUGCCAAUAAAAUGUGGCAUUAUAAUCUCAUUGACAAGGGAUUUGAGCAUCUCUAUUAAAGAGAACAAAGUGGGAUUUACAAAUAUAUGAAAUGUGAAGAUUAAUACAAAUUUAAGGAAACAACUUGACCUGAGGUAGAUGCAAGGCACAACAUGAACAAAUAAUUCAAAACAGUUACCUAAUAAGAUGAUGGCUCCAUAGUCAAACCUAUGUCUUAUGCAGCGUCCUACAAAAGGAGUAAAAUGCAGUACAAACAAUAGAAUCAUCAAAUGAUGCCAAGGAAAAAUAAGAAGAAAAAAUUUGUCUGUUAUAUGUAAAAACCACCCAGCAAAACCCAGUGGCUGACUAUAAUAAUAAAAUCACCCCACAAGAUAAUAGACAAAGUGCAAUGCUUGACGCAUUGCUUAGCAUACCUAUAGCUUGAUUUAGAGCUCGAAAGGCUUGGUUGCAGUACCACUCAUUACCACUUAGAAGAUUUUUUGAUGAUCUAUAUGUAUCAUUAUAUUUCUUCUUCAAUGAAACUUGAAUAUCAUUUCUGGUAAGAAAUUCACAGGAAUCAGUCCCUGUGACUUGCAAAAUUACAUAAUGAUCUUGUUAGGAAAAAAAAAAAAAAGAACAGGUAAGUAUUCUCACAUGUUUGGAAAUGGUAUGCCAACAACUAUCUGAGAAAGUUAAGGACUUCCAAACUCAUGAGAAAAAAACAAUGGGAAUUCUGGCAAGCAUGCAUACAAUUUAAUUUAAUGCAACUCAAGUUGGAGUCCCAUUGCCCGUUAUAUUGGCCAAGUUAAUGUUGAGUCCAAGAUAUUAUUACAACCAAUUUCUUUCCAUUUUUCCAAAGUUGGCCAAAGUGACAUCACAAUCCUAAUCCAAAAUUAUGCAAAUUAAAAAGCAGAACUCUUGGCCCAGAAAAUUUAAAGAGGAAAAAGGAUACAACCACUCGAGCAUUAUCAUCGCUGAAGUCAAUUCCUUCUGAAACCUGCAAACAAAUAUAGCAAUUUAGACAUUUAGUAAAAUACAAAAUGCAGAUUGAACAAAAAAUCAACACAUAAUGCAUCCGCAACCGUAUGAUAAUUGUCAUAUGACAUAAAACAUAAAUUUCACACCUUUCCACGGCAAACUGCAAGGAAACUGGCUCCUUUCUUAUUAGCAUUUUCCUGAGACUCAAUUGUGUUUAAGUCAUUAUUGCCUUCUCUCUUAACUCUUUUCUUUCUCACAACAGCACAUUUACUGCCUUGUGAAAUUGAGUUGUAAUAAUGCUUCAAAACAAUCUCAAAGUCUUCCUGGCUUCCCCCUUUUGGCUCUGCACCAACAACCAAGACAAUAAGCAUAAGACUCCAACUAAAUAGUAGCCAAGAUAAUUCCAGCAAGAACAACAAAGUAGAAUAAUUGCCAUGUAAAGAUAACUUCAAAAUCUAUGCAAAAAGGCUAAAAAUUGUGAAACAAGACAAGGAAAACAACAAAGUUAAUAUAGAAAUGAAGAAUGUUUUCUCAGAUAGCAUAAAAGAUGUGCUGACCCACAAAAAGAGGUUUCUUUGCAUUAAGUCGAGACCAUUGGCCUGUUUCACGCCAACGAUUGCACAGUUUCUCCAUCAACUUAUAACUAGGGAAGAAUACAAGAGAGCCACCAGGAACAACGUUGCAUAUUUCCUCUAUAGAUUUGCCAAGGGCAUCCUUCAAAACAAUAUAUGUACAACCAAUAAUUUAUUGAACUAUAAAAGAGGAGACCACUCUCAGACAAUCAAAAUCAAUGUGACAAAAAGCAGAAGAUACCUGAAAAGCAUACCCAUCUGCAGUUUUAUAACUUGCAUUCAAUGGAUAAUUAUCUGGACCAGUGGAGAUUACAGAAGUCAACACCUGCAAAACAGUUGAUGGUCCAUAACUGCAAUAGUAGUAUAACAAACCAAAACCAAUUAGCAGAGAGAUGGAGGAAAAUGGCAUUCAUACCUGCAAAUCAACAUCGAUGACAUGCGGAGCCUCCAGACAAGUUCCGAAUUGAACUCCAAGCUCAGAAGAGAAGGAAUUCAUUGGUGAUAAGGUCCUAUUUUCAGAGAGAUGAGUACUAGCGUAAAGGAAAGACGCUACUUUGGGUCAUGCAAUUAAAGCAAAGAGAUAGUUUGUAAAAAAGGGCAAAUGCACAGCUUUUACUCAAUCAUAUGGUAUGAGACUGACCAGACAUGAAAAUAAUAUCUUGUAGUCCAACAUUCAAUACUAAGCAGCAGACCAUGGCCAAUUUUAGAAAGAGUAUAUCAGUCCUUAUGGAUAUAGUGGGGAGGUAUAGUGACCUCCACUUAGUUGCUCAACACAUACUCAUGCAUUGAAGGUAGUAAACAAAAGUACAAGAUGUUUCCACAAUAUGCAUACAUGCCUUGUGACUGAGGAAUCAAGCAGUUUAAAAUGAGCUUAGCAAUCCAGAUAUGGCAAUGUCAUAGCUUACCCCGAUGUUAAAAUAAUAGACAAAGAAAGCUCAGCAACAUCCUUGAAAACAACAGCUGGAUUCAAGCACCACAAACUUAAAGUAUGUGUCCAGUUUCCACCAGGGUUUUCUGCAUGGAGUAUUAUUCAUUAACAAUGCUGGCCAUCAGUUUUCUCUAAACAAGAAAGCCCAUGUUAAAAUGGACCAACAAUAACAUAUCCUACAACAAAAACAGUUGAACACUUGAUGGCAAGUAAUAAUAACAUAUUGAGAAGGAACAGAUAAUAACAGAGAUCAAGAUUAUGGAGUUCACCUAAUACAAUUCAAAUGUAGAGUCAAUUCCAUAAAUGGCUUAAUGCAGAAGUUCAAUAUAGACAUUUUUUCUCUAAAAAUUCCAAAAACUAACGUAUAUUAAGUUGGUGGAUACAGUUUCUUAGAGAAACAGUAUCAAGAUCCCCUGAUACAUGAAUUUUCCAAUCAUCUUAUUAAGGAAUCUUACAUAGCUAGGGUUUUGGUUUGAUAAUGACUGGUGCAUAAACCUGUUAGGCUUUCCAUCUGCUACCAUAAGCCCUUAGACUGAUUUUCAAUCACACUUGGCCAAAUAAUAUAUUACCUAUAAGAGUUUGGUCAGCAAUGUCUAUAUAAUUAUUUCACAAAUUCAAACCAUAGAUUCAUAAUCUAUUGACUUUCAUUGAUGACAAAAUUAAAAUGACCCUUAAAAGAAUUAAUCAAAUCAUCAAGUAUUGACCACUUACUUGAAUCUCUUUUAAUAUAUUUCUGUAAAGCAAGCUGAUAAUCAGAUACAUGAGAACCGUUUCUUGAGAAGAAAUAGGUAAGUGAGGAGAAUAACCCUGUUGCAUUUUCAAAGGCAAUCAGUAACAAUAACAAAUGUUCAAUAGUUAAUAGAAAAGCUGUGGGAUCAGGUCACUAUGACAAGAAGACUUGUACCUUCCAAUGUUAUGACUGACAUGCCACUCAGAUGAGGUAACUCUGAUUCUGUGUCUGUAGCUUCUUUGAUUGCCUUUGACCAAACAAAGAAAGUUUAUAAACUUUGGAAGAUAGUCAGAAUCAAACCCCCAAAACUUUCUUAACAGUGUACCUUUGUGGCACAUUCUAGCAAUAUUGGAAAGCACUGCCGUGAGAUGUUAGCUUCUUGGAGUUCUCUUAAAGCUUUAUCACCAGUCCAACUUCAAUAUAAAAUGACAACAAUAAGAUAAAGAAAUGAAACAAAUUUGAUUUUGUUAUUUACAAAAUUCAUACUCUAAUAUGAGUUACUCAAGAGCAUAGUAGUGCAUUUAAUAAUUCAUUUAAAGAAACUUCUUGUAUAGCUAAAACAACUGACCAAGAGAAGAAGUGCUGAAAUUCCCGCUUUGCUAAUGUUGCUUUCCUGCGCUCAAUCCAGCCUACGAGGUCCUAUACAUCCAUAACUCCCACCAUUGUCCAAGAUCCAAUGAUGCAAUUUGAAAGCCAGAAAUUGUGAAAUAAAAUGACCAAAAUUUACCUGGGUCAUUUCAAUUAAUGGUUGGUAAAUCAUGGGAUUAACAGAGCACACUUGCUCUAGUUCCAUCUGCAAUUCUUUCAUAAGCCAUAACCACUAUAAGCGCCAAGAAUCACAAAAUUUCAAAAUUACAUAGGAAUUUUUUCCGAACCUACUUAGCAAAACAUCUUCAUCAAUAUCCACACUACCGGCAUCACGGGCAAUGUCUUCGAUAUUGCUGAAAAAAAACAAAUUAUGUCUGUAAGUGUUCAACUCCAGAGAUAAUAAAAAAUUUUAAAAUCAUUUACUUCUUCAGCAUGACCUAAAGAACUUAAUAGAAGUUUAUAGGAAAAUAAGUAAAUAAAAGUUGUGAAACAUACUGGGCUUCAUCAAGAAUUAAAAUGGCUCCUUUAAUAUCAACUUCCAUAGCACCCCGAAUGACAGGAUUAAUGAUGUAGCUGUAGGGACAAAACACCAACUGCGCAUCAUCUGCCAUGGAGCGUGCAGCAUAAUAUGAACAUCCUGAAAAAUGCAUAGCCUCAAUGAAAUGCUUGUUGCCCAAAAUUGUAGUAUUUCAUGUGUAGAAUGAAAAUAUGAGAUGAACCUCUAACGACUUGUCCAACAUUCACCAGAUCUUCAAUAUCAUGAACCUCAUGGCAACCUCCUUUCUGAAGUGAUGGGUGACCUCUGACUUUAUGCACAUUUCUGUUUGAAAUAAAAUUAUUAUUAGACCAUACUUUAGCUUUUUCCAUUAGCAGUAGCAUCAGACAUCACUAAGAUUAAAUGAGCAUGUAAAAAUAGAGAAAUAACUUACUUAAAUUGAGGACAACCCAAAUUUCGAUCCCCCAAAAGCAGCUUGCUAGAAAAAAAAUAGUUAUCAUGAGAGAAUGAAAGCAAAAUCUUGUUGAUGUGUUUGGAAAAAAAAAAAAAAACACCACACCAUUCUUCAUCAAUAUUCUCUUUGUCACGUACGUACUUGUUUGUGCAAUAAUGUUUACGCGAAGCCUGAUGGGACAUGAAAUAGAAGUUAAUAAACUCAUAGAAGCUUGAACUACACCACUAGUAGGGAUAAACAUUUUUAUUUAAUAUGAUUUUUUUUCAGAUUGCUUCAUUUCAUAGAGAGUUCCAAAGCAAUAUCAACCUCUAAAGCAAUUGCUAUUGGUUUCAUCAAUAUUGACUGUCUUCCUCACUAAUCACCGACAGCAUUAAAAUUAAAAACACUCAAAUGCUAACAGAUAAAACUCAUCAAAGACAUCAGCAAGCAAUAAUUUUCAGUCUAUAAUUUCUGGAGAAAGAACAAGGACAGAAUAUGUAAAAUGUAACUAUAGUCAUGGGUGUUGAAUGGAUGAUCUGAACAAGAGCCAAAGGACUCCAUAAAGCCCAGUGCUAAAACAAACCUAAAACAAAUAGAUUAUAGUCAUGGGUCAUUAAUAUAAGGAUGUAUUAAAACAUACCAACACUGCCAUUGGCACCCGAUAAGCAGUUUUCUUGUAUUCAGAAAUCACUUGAGAAAUUUGUGAAUGUGUCCUCCUAGUGUGAACAGAAAACACACAAAACCAUUAAUAUGUGCAAAUUCUUAAUUAGCAUCCAUAAGAGUAAAAACUUUUUGCACAGAAAUUACAAAGAUCAAAUGGUGUCCAGUAUCUUGCGCGCUUGGCCUCACUCUUUCCCUUUAUGAAUCUCACAUAAUUAUUACUGGCAAGCAGGACAGGUUUGAUGAACACAGUGAACUCAAUCUAUUCACAAACUACAAUCUCUUAAAACAUCAGAAACACCAUGACUUAAUUAUCACAGCUUAAUAAGCGUACCUAAAAGUAAGAUUAUAUCAAAAUUUAACUUAAUAUAAGAUAUAAACCGUCAAUUAAACAGAUACAACAAACAUAUAGUAACUCGACAAGAUAAAACUCACGAUGCAUAAAAUAUUGUAGGCGUCAUCUUUUUCUUCACAUUCUUGUUGUUCAUCGCAACCUGAGCCGUCUGGCCAUUUGUUGACGGCGGAAUAGCUAACAACACGAAGCAAUAAUAGUCAUGUCAAUAGCAAUGAAACAUUUUCAUUUUCUCAAGUUUUGAAAAAUAUUAAAUCAAUAUGAUGACGUGGCAUUAUUACUUGAAGGCUGUGAUUCGGGGAUGAAUCCGCCACCAUUUGCCAGAGGAUCGGUGACGGCCUCGGUAUCAGGUUUGGAGUGAGAGAUGUUUGCUAACUGAUUCUUUAAUUUACAAUUCUGCUGCCAAGCGAGAGUCGAGCAAAGAAGCGAGAGAGAUUUUCCAGUACCGGUCGGAGACUCGAGUAAUGCGUGACAGUGACCGUCUCUUUGCGCUCGAUCAAGCGUCGAUAUCACGCGGCACAUGAACACAAGCUGCGACCCGUAUGGUUGGUACGGAAACUCCACUUGGAUUCCCCCGACGUGGUACGCAUUCAGGGGCUUUCUGUAAUUAGGGUUUGGGUUUGCCUCUGAGACCAUUUUUGCAUUUCUAUUUGGAGAUCUUGGAUGAAAGAAACUGAGAUAAAAUAUUGAGAGGGAGCUCUAAAAGUGAAAUGAAAUGGAUGUUUUGGGAGUUUUAGCGGGAAUUUUUUUUGAGUGAGGCGGUAAAUUCUGCACCGCAGGGUUGAACAGUGAACACAAUUUUAUUAAGCAACGUAUCAGCGUUGGCGUGAUGAAUGUGUUACGCCAACUUCGUACCUUUUCGUAAAUCGAAAAAUGAUAAUCGUCUGCCUUCGGCACGUAAGAUUAAAUUAAAUUAAUUAUAACAAAAAUUAAAAUAUUUUUUUUUUAUCUUGAAUUUAAAUUUUUUAGAUGCUUAUUUAUUUUAGGUUGUUUAUUUUUUUAAUUUUUCACUUAUUUUCAGAUAAUUUUAUAUGAAUAGAAAAAAUAAAAAAGGCCCACUUUUAUAUGAAAGUUCGAAAUCUAAAUCGAAAUCUAAAUAGAAAAUUUUAAUUUCAAAUAUCAAAAAUAUCCUUAACAAUUUAUGUAUUUUCAAUAUUAUAUAUAAACCUAAUAAUUUUGUAUUAUUUUUGAAGUUAUUUUUUAAUUGCUUUAAAUUUUUAUUCACAUGAUAGCAUUAGAUAAACUAAAAAUAUUAAACAAAUCAAAUUGUAUUCAUUGUGAUGAAUCAAAAAUAAAAUAAUAAUGUUGACUUUAUAAUAAAAUUUGAUAUUAUAAUUACAUCUUUUAAUAAAAAAUUAAAUUAAGAUCAACAAUGAUAAUAUUUUUUUUAAAUGCUAUCAAACUAAUCAACCUGUAAAAAUUAUAAAUUGUGAAGAGUAAAUAUAUGCACUACUUGAAAGGGUAUUAACGUCAAAUUAUUAACUUUUAAGUUUUUCUUUUCAGAUGUUGAAAAUAAAAAAAUAAACAUGUCAUUCAUAAAAUUUUAUUUAAACCUAUUCAGAUUUCAAAUAAAAAAAUAAAUACAACCUAAAUUUUUGUUAGCUUUUACAUAACAAGUCAACAUAAAUUAAAUUUAAAAAAUACUUUUUUAACUUUGAGUUUUGUAUUUUUACUUCUUCCCUUUUUGUUUAUUCCUAUUCUCUAUUUCUCUUCCAUCGCGUUCUAGCCCACUUGAUUCACCGUGGUCUUUGGAUGGUGAGGACCACUAAAAGUUGUAGUAAGUCCAGAAACAUCAAUCACGCAAGGGCGCCCCAUGCCAUACGUUUAAAGAUGGCAAAUUCUCCAUUUCGUCCCUCAAUAAAUUUAAUGGUAAUAGACUAAUAGGGUAGAGACGAAAAAUCCCUAAAUAAGGAUUAAUUUUUUUAUUUAUUAGUAGAUAUGUAUAAAUGAUUUCAGUAAAUUAAAAAUAAAGACUUAAAUAAAAUUAUUAACAUAUUAUAAAGUAUUUAAUUAUUUAAAAAAAUCUAUAAAAGGUUGAAAUAAUAUCAAAAUUAAAAAAUAUUUGAAGAGUGCAACAUGUUGAGAAAGAAAAGAAAACAUAACAAUGUUUUAAUGUUGAAUAAGAAUUACAAUGUAGAGUUUUCUUUUAGUUAUAAUCUAUUUAUAUUAGGUAAAAAAAUAUUAACCAACAUUGUAAUUGACAAAACAAAAAUUUUAAAAUAUUCAUAUAUAAUAGGGAUUGAGUAGAGAGUACAAAACUAAACCCUACCGCAUUAAGAAUUUGAGAAUUAUUUUUCUUCAAUUCUCCAUCUUAUUCUGCAAAAUUAUUCAAAAUUCACUCCAUUUAAGGUGGAGCCCUGUGAAUUUCUAAAUUCAUUAAGGAUUUUGCCACCCUAACCCUACCUGUGAAAUUGAUGGAGAUAUAAAAAAUUGGAGCCCGGAAUGAUGAGAAAUCUUUUUUGAAUUAGAAGCCAUUCUUUCUUAAUUCCUAGCGGACAUAAUAUGCAUAAACCUAAUUUGAUACAUCAGACAACUUUUACAAAUUCUACUUAGUUUUUUCCUUCACCACAAGGACUACGGUUUCAUCCUUUUAUUGCACUUCUCAGAAGUCGAUGUUGGUUUGUGUGCUUUGGCUGAUGGGAUCAAGAGCUUUAUUGCACUAACGUUUCUCUUGUUUCAAUAUUUUAAUAAUCAAUGACUCAACACUUAUGUCUGUUUAUGCUAGUAACAGAAUAUGGAUAAGAGAAUAUUGUAACAAAGGAGCAGAUUUUUUUUUUUUCAGCAAAUUAAAAAUUCCAAGAAGCGUUACAUGGGAUAUAAUCUAUUGACUUGAAAGAGUUUACAAGAACCAAAAUAAUAACACGGUAAGAACCACAAAAUUUCGGCUCACAAUCUUUUCAAUUGAAUGUAGACGCAAAUUAAAAAAAAAAAAAAUUGCAUAUAAUAUAGUUUUAUUUCAAAAAAAAAAAACUUAGAAAAUGAAACUGCUUACACCAGGCCAAAUCAUAGUCGAUAAUGAAAAAAAAAAGGAACUCAACUAUAGCAUACAACGAGUAAUCCAUGGUCUAGACAAACUAUUCUUCAUAAGGCCUAGUAUAUAGCAAAGCCAAAAACUCCCCCAACAGCAAGAUUAAGUUCCAACAGUACAAAUCGAUAUAGAUUCACAUAAUAUAACAAUAAUCGAGAAACAAAACUCAAUAACUACAAACUUGAGUAAUGCAAAUCAUCUAACAAAAAUUUAGUCGAAAUUCUCCCAUAAAGGGUGGAUAGUCUUGACCGCCUGACAAAGUUAAAAUCCCCCACAGACCUAGCUGGUAUAACACAUUUGAUUCCAUUAAUUUUUCUUCUUUCUUCACUUUCAAGCAAGCACAGUUGAUAGUGUUAGGUGCGUAUAAUAUUCAGGAAGCAUUCUUUUUCACCGUCUCAUUUUCGCGAUGCUGUAAAAGAAUAACUAUAAUAAUAAUAAUAAAAUAUAUGUACUUUCAUCAGCUAUAGCAUAAAAAUAGAUUAAUACCACAUUUUAUUAAGCUUUUAUCAAAUCCUAGCCAUUGAAAUUAAUAAUAUCACAUAUCAAUAAAUGUUUAAAAAUUCAAAUACUACUAAGAUUAUGAGAGAAUUUGAAAUAGUAAAAAUAUUCACAAGUAUCAUUUGUGUGGGAGUCAGUUAUUUUUUAUUUUAGUUUAUUUAAGUUUUUGAAGAUUGAAUAAGAUGAGUUCGAUAAUUUGAAAAUAAUAUCCUUAAUUAAUAAUGAAUGUCACUUGUUAAUACCAAAUUUUAUUAAGCUUUUAUCAAAUUCUGGCCAUUUUAAUUAAUAAUAUAACAUGUCAAUAGGUUUUUAAAAGUUCAGAUAGUACUCAGAUUAGAAGAGAAUAUAAAAUAGUAAAAAUGUUUAACCGGUAUCAUUAGAGUGGGUGUCAGUUAUUUUUUAUUUUAAUUUAUUUAAUGUUUUGAAGAUUGAAUUAGAUGAGUUCGAUCAUUUGCAAAAUCUUAAUAAAGGGCAUUGGAUGCCUUGGCCCAAUCAAAAGUCCAGAACGGUCAAUAGUAAUCAGCCCAUAUCACAUUUUCAUCAUCACGGCGAACGUGCUUUAACAAACCUCUUAACAAUGGCGUUUGCAUUUCUGAGGCUCACUAGCGAAGCUUUCAACAGUUCCUUUCAUGGCGUUUCUUUCGCGGUUUUACAGAACCAGGUACCCUUUAUCCUCCCUAAGCUCGUCAUUUUCACUGUUUUUAUUUUCAACUUCAGUUCGGUCAAACUUGUCAUACAACGAACUGUUAUCGAAUCAAAAGAAGAAUAUGUCAAGCCUCGACGAACAUCACGUUCUCAAGGAACUAUCAGAUUUAUUUCAAAUUUCUAGUCAUAAUUCAUUUCCAAAUGUAUAUAAAGAGAGUCGUAGUAAUUCAGUUAAACGAAUAGACAGCAGCAGGGCAGUUGACGAGUUUUUAUUACCCGAGGAGAGACUACGAGGGGUUUUCCUUCAAAAGCUGAAGGGUAAAGGCGUAAUUGAAGAUGCUUUAUGGAAUGUGAAUGUGGAUUUGAGUCUUGACGUUGUUGGUAAAGUUGUAAAUAGAGGGAAUUUGAGUGGGGAAGCGAUGGUUUUGUUUUUUAAUUGGGCAAUUAAGCACCCAAACGUAGCUAAAGAUGUCAAGAGUUAUAAUGUGAUUGUUAAAGCAUUGGGGAGAAGAAAGUUUUUUGAUUUCAUGUGCAAUGUUUUGAGUGAUAUGGCUAAGGAAGGCGUAAAUCCUGAUUUAGAGACUUUAUCCAUUGUGAUGGAUAGUUUUAUCAGGGCCGGUCAGGUUUAUAAAGCUAUACAAAUGCUUGGGCGCUUAGAAGAUUUUGGAUUGAAAUUUGAUGCUGAAUCUUUGAACGUUGUUUUAUGGUGUUUGUGUCAACGAUUACAUGUUGGUGCUGCGAGUUCGUUGUUUAACUCAAUGAAAGGGAAGGUUUUGUUUAAUGUAAUGACGUAUAAUAUUGUCAUCAGUGGGUGGUCAAAACUUGGUCAAGUUGUUGAAAUGGAGAGAGUUUUGAAGGAAAUUGUAGCUGAAGGUUUUAGUCCUGAUAGCUUAACUUUCAGUUUUCUUAUUGAGGGUUUAGGUAGAGCUGGUAGAAUUGAUGAUGCCAUUGAGGUUUUUGAUACUAUGAAGGAGAAAGGCUGUGGGCCAGAUACGAAUGCUUACAAUGCUGUGAUUUCUAAUUACAUUUCUGUUGGAGAUUUUGAUGAAUGUAUGAAAUACUAUAAGGGCAUGUCAAGUUAUAAUUGUGAGCCAAAUAUGGAUACAUAUACCCGAUUGAUUUCUGGGCUCCUCAAAUCCCGAAAAGUUGCUGAUGCACUUGAGGUUUUUGAAGAGAUGCUGGAUCGAGGGAUUGUUCCCUCCACGGGGACUAUAACAUCUUUCCUUGAACCUUUGUGUAGCUAUGGUCCACCUCAUGCUGCGAUGAUGAUGUAUAAGAAAGCAAGGAAAGUUGGGUGCAAACUAUCCCUUACAGCUUAUAAGUUAUUGCUCAGGAGGCUGUCUGGAUUUGGGAAAUGCGGAAUGCUGCUAGAUUUAUGGCACGAGAUGCAAGAAAGUGGUUAUCCUUCUGACGGGGAAAUUUAUGAAUAUGUCAUUGCCGGACUUUGCAAUAUAGGUCAGCUUGAAAACGCUGUUCUUGUUAUGGAGGAAUCUUUGCGUAAGGGUUUUUGCCCAAGCAGGCUUGUUUAUAGCAAACUUAGUAACAAACUACUUGCUUCAAACAAAUUAGAGAGUGCUUAUAACCUAUUUCGGAAGAUUAAAAUUGCUCGUCAAAAUGAUUAUGCUCGGCGGUUAUGGCGUUCUAAGGGGUGGCAUUUUUAAGCUGAUUUGCUUAUCUUUGGCAAGCAAACUAUAGUCUUUGUGGCAGAAGGUAGUAACUUUCUUGUAGGGUGUGGUAAUUCUACUAUCAAGUGCAAGCUUUUGUUUAACCCGAUUCUUCAUAAACUGUGAACUUAUGCUUCUGUCAUUCAUGUUAUGUCUACUUGUCUUAAUAGCUUCAACAGCAUCUUGCAUACUAAUAUUUAAAAUGAAAAACUAAUUUUAGGCUGUUGACAUAUUGGUGUUUGUGAAGCUUAUGAUUUUUUAUUUUCUAUAUUCGUGCAUUAAAAAAUAGCUGUCUUUAUGAAAUUCUUUAUCCUUAUUGCUUUAUGCGUAGGUGCACAUUAUUCCUGUGGACUAGACCUUGAAGGACAAGUAUGCUAUUCCGUUAGCUUGUUACCAGAGCCUUGGUUGUUCAUGGAAAGAAGAGUUAAUGCUAACAUUCAAGGUGAAAUUUUAACCAGAUUUUGAACUCAAUCACAGGCUCACAGCAGUACUUGAUUGGAUUGUUAAAAUAUGUGGUGCAGGAAGUAGAGCGGCCUGUGACUGUGAUAAUCUUGGUUCUGGUUCGGAAGGCCUUAUGUGCUGCUAAUGAUAAAGGAAAAACCAUGGACACUAUUUCGGGAAAUUUUAGCUGCUGUUGUUAGGGAUUUCCGUGCUGACAUGUUUUAUAAUAGAAGCAAGCAGAGCAGAACAAUAACUUUUUUAAGCUUCCUCAGUUCAGCAAUUUUCUAAAUUUAUUGUAUAACUCAAGUUUUUAAAUCUAAACGAUUGUCUUUGUUUACUUGUUUUUACACCCUAACAAUUAUUCCAAAACCGCCGAGGUUUAUAUUCAUUCUAGAAUGGCAUUAAUUUAGACCCUCUCAACAAUCAGACGGAAAGAAAAUAUUGUUCUUUUCUAUAAUUAACUGUUUUUCGAAGUGUACUUUUGAAGCUGCGUGAUGUGGAUCCUGCUGAUCCAAUUCCCAAGCCGGGCUGAGCCCUCAGAUAAAAUGUCUAAAAUGAUAAAUUGCCGAAUAGACUGUAGUAACUAAAAUUAAAGAAGAAAAGAGGGGGUAAAUGAAAUAUUUACGCCAAAGCCCAAGGGCCAUAAGUUAAAAAUAAUAAUGAUAACAAUAAGGAAAAGAGAUAGAUCCUGUGACAGUCUGCGUUCCUUCCGAUCGAGAGAGACUGUACAGCCAUUUUUGCAAAGGAAAUUCUCUUCUCUCGCUUUAAUCUUUAAUUAAUUGUUACUUAGCUUCCAAAUCCCCAUAUCAUCUUCUCGAUCUAAACACCUUAUUUAAAUUCCACCAAUUCGUCGCUGCACUAUUAAAGAUUCCUUUCGCCGGUUGUUGCAUCGUCACUUUGAUGCUUUAUAUUCAAUUGAUUAAUUAUUUCAUUUCACGGUUUGAUCGGAGACUCGAUUAAUUUGAUCAAUUUGGAGUUGUUUUUUCGGUUAGUUUAGAAUCUUAGAUGGCGGGGCCAAAUCAAGAUCAAUUCGAAUCGUUUUUUAGGAGGGCCGAUUUAGAUGGUGAUGGUCGAAUUAGUGGAGCUGAAGCUGUCGCGUUCUUUCAAGGAUCUAAUUUGCCCAAACAAGUCCUUGCUCAGGUUGCUUUUUUAACAUGUCUUUUAUAUUUAAUUUCGACUUACUGCUUAUUCCCUGUUGAGUAGAAUUUCUGUUUAUAUUUAGAACCUAAAUUAUCUCAAAGCUGUUUUUCUGGUGUCACAAUGUGAAUUUUCUUGAUAGUUUGAAACCUCAUUGUUACUUCUCAUAAUUAGAAAGUUUGCUGGCUAUUUCUGUCUAGUCAAUACUUUUAGUUGGUUACUACAUUCGUUAUUUUUUAUGUUUCCUGAGCUUUAAACCUUAUUUUCCUGGAUCUCCUAGGAUAUAAAUAUCAUAGGAAAAUAUGAUUUGAUUAAUGAUUUAGGGAGAAGUAAAAAGAAUUACGUUCUUAACUUCAUUUUAUCUGUGAAACCACGUUCUAAUUACCUAGUAUUGACAAUAAUGACAUUGUUCUUAAGCGUAUGCAGUAUUAAGUGACAUUGUUCUGAAGCAGAUGGAUUGCAUUUAAUGUCUUGUAGAUUGUCAUUGUUCCUGUUGCGUAAGGACGCCUAAACCUGAUUUGACAUUGCGCUUCAUGAUAACGAUGCAUGCUACUCAAACAUUUUCUUUAUGGAUGCAGAUAUGGAUGCAUGCUGAUCAUAACCAUACUAGUUACCUUGGCCGGCAAGAAUUUUAUAAUGCUCUCAAACUUGUAACUGUGGCCCAGAGUAAGCGGGAACUAACACCAGAUAUAGUCAAGGCUGCGCUCUAUGGUCCUGCUGCCACCAAAAUACCGCCGCCACAGAUCAAUCUUUCAGCUACGCCUGCUCAACAAAUAAAUUCAACGGCUGCUGUAUCCGUUCCACAAAUGAGUGUGCCAACACAAAUGGCUCCUCAGAAUUUUGGUUUUAGAGGACCAGGAGCUCCAAAUGUUAGUCAGGUCCAGCAGCAGUCUAUUAGACCAUACCAAGCUGCUCCCCAUCCAACUCAGGGUUCUGUUGGUCCAGACUUCUCUCGGGGAGGUAGUGUGAUGGGUCAAACUCAAGUCAUGCCAGGGAGUACUGCUCCCCGUCCACCUCAAACCAUGCCUGCUGGUACUGCUCCCAGGCCGCCUCAAUCCAUGCCUGCUAGUACUUCUCCCCACCCACCUCAAUCCAUGCCUGAAAGUACUGCUGGUCUGAAUGUGCCAAACUCAAACAUAUCCAGUGAUUGGCUUAGUGGAGGGGCUGGUGGAGCUUCAACUGGGUCAAGAGCAAUCAGUCCAUCAACACCUCUGAUGCCAACAAAUCCUCAAACUCCAGUUUCAUCGUCUUCACAGCUUAUAAAUAAUAAAUCUAAAGCAUUAGUUCCUUCUGGAAAUGGUUUUGCUUCUGAUUCAGUUUUUGGAGGCGAUGUGUUUUCUGCAAUUACAACUUCUCCGAAACAAGGGCCUUCUUCGUCAGCUUAUUCGGCUAGCACUUCACCUACCUCGUCUGCCAACGUUCCAGUUUCAGGUGCUGCUCAACCUUCAAGUAAGCCCUACCCGCUCAACUCGUUGCAGAGUGCUUUCUCUAUGCAACCUGCAGGCAGCCAGAUUCCGCAAAACCAGUUAUCUUUGAACCCAGGACAGAAAAUUUCUUCUCAAAGUUCAUCAUUUGCUUCAGCUGGGAUUUCAGUGGGGUCGGGAAAUUCAACUCCUGAUAAUUCGCAGUUUCCUUGGCCAAAGAUGAAACCAUCGGAUAUUCAGAAAUAUUCAAAAGUGUUUAUGGAAGUAGAUACUGACAGAGAUGGAAGAAUCACUGGCGAACAGGCGAGGAAUUUAUUUAUGAGUUGGAGGCUACCAAGAGGUAAUUUCAUUUUUCUUCUUGAUAUGUCUCUUUAUGCUUGGCUUUUUACUUCAUUUUACUUCUUAAAGUUUUAUACCUAGUUUCUUAAAGGCAGUUGCCCUUCUUGUUACAAUUGCCAUAAUUUUCAUUGCACCAAUUCAAUU
This 28861-nucleotide long non-coding RNA is filed under the name Citrus sinensis (sweet orange). RNAcentral's name for it is "long non-coding RNA (CSIN_LNC001543)". The record is from RNAcentral. Lineage: Eukaryota; Viridiplantae; Streptophyta; Magnoliopsida; Sapindales; Rutaceae.